CGCGCGCGCGCAUUUGUGCGCAGGUUCGAAUCUCCGCCGCUUCGUGGCUGCUCCCCAACGUCCGGCCGCAUCUCGGCCGCGGCGAGGGCCCUGCGCGCGACUGGACCGGACCGGCCGCCCCGCCCCCUCCAGCCGCCGCCUCGCCCGGACUUGGUCCUCGCCCUCCCUCGCGCGCUGCGCGCCCCGCCCUCGCCUUUCGCCUCCAGCUAUCGGCGCUCGGCCUCCCGCGCUGGGCGGGCUCCGCCCGAGCCUUCGGGGCCCAUGGCCAAGCGGCGUGCGGCCGAGCCGCUGACGUUCCACGUGCCUUGGAAGCGGCUCCUGCUCUGCAACUUUCCUGAGGAGUCGCCGCCGCCGCCGCUCUGGAUCCCGUCGCCGGGGGCCUCGCCUCCCGGGCAGCCCCUCGGCGUCCCGGAGCUGCCCCGAAAGCGUAAAAUCGACGCGGGGGCUAUGAGUGAACCUUCGGUUUCGCCCAGCAAGCGCCGCGAUAGUGGUGACACCGGCGCUCCGGACGGCGCGGAGCGGGAGGGCCGCGGCCUGGAAACCGGCGAGCCGCGGCUGCUGCAGCCGCCCGUGAGGCCCUGCGGGCCGGGGGAGGAGCCCCGGGGCGUCCGGCCCCCGCGAGGCGGUGGCGACGACGGGGAGGGGCGCGCGGAGUCCCAGCGGGGAGACUGGGGGGCCGCGCCGCGCCAGCUCAAUGAAGAAUUUUGGCAGUAUAACACCUUCCAGUACUGGAGGAAUCCUUUACCACCUAUUGAUCUGGCAGACAUUGAAGAUGUAAGUGAAGACAACCUGACAGAAACAACACUUCAGGCCAAGAAUGAUGUGGUUGAGAUUGAUAUGGAGUCUUGACAGAAGGAGCUGAAAAACUUUGAACCAAGAGUGAACACUCACAGAACUGCAGUGGCAGCAGGGCCAGCCCAAAUUCUGAGAGAAGCUUCAGUUUUUGGGUGGAAGAUCAGGAAAGGGAGCUGCUUUGAGCAGGAGAGAGAAUUCUGGAGAUGAGAGAGCUGGAAGAGUUGAGAACUGGUAGUUCAAAAGGAUGCUGAAGCUUUAGACACAAGCACGGCUGGGAAGAAAAACAAGGCUGAGAGAACACAGAGAUGGAAACCUCAGGAUAAAAUUCAAUGGCUGAAGGCUGAGUGAAAUUUACCCUGGCUGUGGUUAUGAAGAGGGUAAGUGACUGGACCUCUUUGUUGCUCUUGUGUUUAUUUUCUCUUAUGCUAGAUUUUAUACAUCAUAAAAUGCAAAAGGCAUACUCUUGAGUUUAUAGUUA
Hippopotamus amphibius kiboko is the source of this 1273-nucleotide RNA transcript. It is a transcript of the gene named chromosome 2 C9orf40 homolog, with no coding region annotated. The record is from RefSeq and is a predicted model, not a curated record. Lineage: Eukaryota; Metazoa; Chordata; Mammalia; Artiodactyla; Hippopotamidae. The transcript is spliced from 5 exons.